UUGUCUGGCGGCAGUAGCGCGGUGGUCCCACCUGACCCCAUGCCGAACUCAGAAGUGAAACGCCGUAGCGCCGAUGGUAGUGUGGGGUCUCCCCAUGCGAGAGUAGGGAACUGCCAGACAUC
RNAcentral lists this ribosomal RNA (122 nucleotides) under Escherichia coli. The record is from RNAcentral. RNAcentral also lists the same sequence under 2 other names. Lineage: Bacteria; Pseudomonadati; Pseudomonadota; Gammaproteobacteria; Enterobacterales; Enterobacteriaceae.